This 24964-nucleotide long non-coding RNA is filed under the name Gallus gallus (chicken). Lineage: Eukaryota; Metazoa; Chordata; Aves; Galliformes; Phasianidae. The record is from RNAcentral.
GCUCAUUGUAACAGAGGUGAUUAAAAGCUCAGCAGUCUUUAUGUUACUCUAAACUGUGCUUCCUCUGACAGGAGCAGACUUGUGAUGGCUUUCAGGGUCUCAGUUCAGUUGUCUGCAGUGAUCUAGGAGCACUCUGAGCACAAUGUGAGGCACUGCUGUAGCUGCUUGGAAUCAUAGCAUCGAGGAGCUGCAGCUCUGCCAAUAAGUACUGUUCCACAGGAAGUCUGCAAGUGGUUGUAACUGAAAGACUAUAACAAGGAAAAACACCUGAGGCGGAGCCACAGUUGCAAGGUAAGACAUGAUUUUCUUGUUAAUUGAAAUGUUCAGUUAAAAUUUCUCAAAGGAUUAAAGCAGUAGGAAUAAUUACAAGUUCUGUUAUUUCUUCUUGCUGAAAUUUGUCUGAAUAGGCAGUUUCAAAAGUAUUAAUGGCAUUUGCUGUGUUUAGAGACCACAACCACUCAGAUCUGUGGAUCCAGCUCCAAAAAAACAAGUGUAUAUUGAAAGGCAAAUCAUUGAGAUUUGUCUUUUCCAAGUAGGAUUUUGAAUUUUCAAGGCCUUAAUGUUUUAAUCAAUAUUUAUUUUGUUUUGUAUUUGUUUCUUCAAAAUUUCAUAUGGUCCUUAUAGAGUGAGAUAAACACAUUCUAAAAAUAAGAAAUUGCUAUCAUUUAUUACUAUUGUGUAGGAAAAAAACCGCACUGCUUGUUUGAAUUCUUCCUUGGAUCUGUUUGCUACCUCCUUCUCUGUCCCUUAUUCCCAAAUAUCAAUUAUGCUGUUACCCAAGGCAACGGUGCCUUAAAUUCAUAUUAGUGUUAUUAGUGAGCCAGAAUAUUUCCCACACUUCAUUUUUGACCUGAGAAUAAAAAUUCUUCUCACAGGUCACUUCAAAAUCAUGCACUGUGAUCGGAGACUAAAAUUAAAAAAUAAUUAAAUGAUAGAGGCUGGACGUGGAUAAACUCAAAUCAUUGUAUUAGAGCUAGGAGCUCCUAUCUGCUAAGUGUCUGUCUUAUUACAGAAACAUGUUCUUGUCAUUACACUUACUUUUGCUGUGUUUCCCCUGCUUUCACUCGUAUUGUCUUCACUAUGAGCCCUGGUCGACGAGUGCCUUUUGUCCAUGGUAUUAUGGUUUGAAACUUGUCCCAGAUAUUUUUCCAAACUGCAGUUCCUUCCCAUUUAAACUUGAUCAUUAGUAGCUCACCAAUAUCAGUGUCCAGUGUGAUGAGAAAAGAGUAGGUUUUAUUCCCAUUAAUUCCUUCAAUUCUGCAGAAAUCAAAAAUAGAAUAAUGCUAUCUCUAUUAUGGGUUGAAGUUUAUUUAAAAAAGUAAACUAUUUUCUUUGAAAUCAAAGAAAGAACUGUUCCAAUGACAUGUAAUGUCAAUACUCACAGUGUGAUGGGCAGGUUUUUAGCAUCCUCCUUAGUGCCUGUCAGAGACAUGCUAAAACUUGGGUCUAUCUUCUUGCCUUGAAUUUCAUUUAUGAAGUGGAUCUUGAACUGAUAGUGAUAGACUGUAGAAAGGAGGAAUUUACAAAGUGAUGAAAUGAAUGGUCAAAGAAACACUCGAUUUCUCAGACAUAAGACUGUCUUUCAAAACAGGAAUUUGAUUGAUACAUAUAUUUUAUUUUAAAACAAAUCUGUUGCAAUUAAAGCCUAUAUAUGUAUUUAUCACUGAUGUGUUGUAUUAGAGCUUGGGGGCCCUACUGCUCUUAAAAACAUUGAAGAGGGUAAAACGGUCUCCCAUGGGGAAUGUUUUUGCUCUUCUGAAAUUUAAUCGUUGGAAUGUCUGGCAAGCUCUGUCCAACCAGCAGAGGAAUCCUUCUGACUGGACAUGUUUAGAGGUGUGCAUUAAAGACUGAAGAUCUUAUAAGAUGUUGUCAGACUUUUUCUCUGGUUAGAAAAUCUCCUUGCAGAACAAAAGACUUUCCUUGGCUUAAUAAUAAAACAUUGUGCUUAGUAUGCAUCUGUUAACAAUAUGACUUUGUUCAAUCACAUUACUGUAAGAAAGAUGUCAUCAGUGCUUUGAGGUUUGGUGGUUUCUCCAAGAAUUGUGUUUAGGAAAGUCUUUGAACUGAAGAUAAUGGUAUGCUUCUGAGAAGGAAGAAUGACUAAGGAAUCAUCAGUGUACUGAUUACAAGCUGUUUGGCAUUUAGAGAACUACAAGACACAAAGAAAAUACCCAUACAGUUAGAGGCCUUGUGUACACAGGUAUUACCAUCUAGUUUUGAAUGUCCAACACUUUUCUGUGUAGCACGUCUACCAAAAGAAAAGAUCUGGCUGUAGCCACUUAAAUGUACCAUGGAAAAGUUACUGUUGGGUGAUAAUGUCACUUAGGUAUUUUCAGCUUGACAAUACCCACGUGUGGUGGCUCUUCAUCAACUUUUGACAUCAGCAUCAGAUCUAUUAUUUCCUGCUGAAAAAUUUCUUAACAACCAUCACUGCAUUUUACACACCACUUAUCAGGGCAUACUAUUUGUAGCUCUAAUUCAUCACUGUUUUAUAUUGACAAACAUAAAAAUAAAACCAGACAUGCAGUGACAAUGGAGAUUUCUAAAGCAAGGUGGUGUUAGUCAGCUCUAAAACACUUCUGCAGUGUGGAAUGUGGUUUUCCCAUCUGCAAACUGCCUCCUUGCCCACAACUGUUAGGUUUAGAUAUUAGGGAGGAAAUACUAGGUCAUUUUAAUUGACAAAUAUCAGAAAGUAUUUGGGAGAAUUAGUAGGUGAUGAUAUUUAUCCUUGCAAUGUGUUAAAACUGCACAUGGGAAACUGUUCUGUUAAACAUUAUUGCACCGUGUGUGUGUGUGUGUGUGUAUACAUAUAUAUAUACAUAUAUAUCUGCAUAUAUAUGUAUAUAUAUGUAUAUAAACAUCAUAAAUGCUUUUGAGCAGAAAGAUGCUCAAAAUGACCUGCUCCAGGCUUCACACAAUGCUACCACUGCCCUGUCGUCUUUUCCUGUAUAUGCACAGAUAGACCUUUGUGCAGCUCUUAGCUUCCACAGUGGAAGCUAUUUGCUAGAAAAACUAUGUAUUUUUUGUUGUUGUUUCAUAACUUACUGUAUGUUAAAGAACAAUUUUUUUUCUUUUUAAAAGUUACCACUUAACAGAAAGCAAAAUGACUGGUUCUUUGCUGCCAGCCAGAAACGCAGACCUGACAAGGACAAAGAGUAUAGAAAGGCUUGUUUACAAAUCACUUCUUGCUAUUCUGUCUUGAUCUGGGUUUGCUCUUACAAAAGUUGAGUGCUCUUACAAAGCCCGGUCUUGUGCUAUGCUUGUGAUACUCAAAGGAGAAAGGUGAGCAUGUUUAUAUAGAAACUUUGGUUGGCUCAGGGUCUCAUCAUGACUUUAUAAUCAUUAACUUCUUUGUAGCAAUUGUUUUUUCAUGUGUACACUCCAGAAUAUAACUUGAAAAAUGUCUGAUUUCAUGCAGAAAUACAGAGCAUUGUGAAACUUAAUGCUGAGUCCCUCAGAUUUCCUCUGUUUGGGUUUCUCUCGUGAUCUUCAAACUUUUUUUUUUUUAAGAACAUUACAAAGAUCACUUCACACACAGCCUUCCACUGGUGCCACCUUGUUUUGGAGCUUUUAUGAAAAGAAAUUACUGUGUGAGCAUUAGUUUUUGUCUGUUCCAUGCCCACCGCCCUCUGGUGAACCUUUCCUUACUUCCCAGCCUGACUCCCCCAGCAGAGCUCCAUGCCGUUCCCUUGGGCCCUGUCACUGUCACCAGAGAGCAGAGCUCAGCGCUCAGUUCACCAGAGUGACAGGAGAAAAGCCGGUGCAACAGCGUUCCCCUAGGUUUCGCUCCAGACCUGAAGAAUCCUAAGUUGCUACCAUGAGGAACACGUCCAAAAGUAUUUUAAAAGUACGUGGAUUGUAUUUUUAUGGGUUUUAUUCUCUGGUGUUGCAAUUGAGUAGCAGGCACUGCGUGUGGAGUUGAAGUGUGUGAUCCAAGCAGGUGCUGAGGGGGAUUCCUGUGUCCUGGGCCUGCUCUGGGGAAGGCGGGAAACUGACCGUGCUUUCCUCUGUGGAGAUACACAGUGUGGAUUGCCUCGCUGGACUUGGUAGUUAUACUGCUCUCUUGAUAAAAUAAUUUAAUGGUGAUAAACCCUAGACUGUCUCUUUGUUUUAGUGCCACAUUCUGGCCUGUGAAAGUCCAUGCUAUUCUGUUGACCACUGAAUGAAAAGUAAUAAUUUGUGUGUAGUACUAAUUUAUCUGUUGAGAAAGUACAGAAAAAAUAUGAGCAUAUUUGGAACGUGAGGCUUUACAGGCCUCCCAGAGCAGUUGUGCUGCUGUUUUGGCUUGGCUGCCUGCCUGCAGAUGCUGUGGCACUCACACAGGACAGCUGUAGGAAGUGCCUGUCACCCUAGCAGCUCUGAGGCCCAGAUUUGAUGUGAGGCCAUCAGGACAGCCUGCCAAGAUUCCUCGUUGUCUCUGCAAAUCGAUCAUCCCACAGAUUUUUAUGAGCUUUAAUAAAUGAAUAAUCGGGAUCACAAAGCCUAGACUUGUUACCACACUUCAUAAUCAGGGUGGAGACUAUAACAAAUAUUCCCACACACCUUUGAAAGGCAUACGUGCUCUUGUUUUCAGGAAGAGUUUUCUACUUUUUGGGAGCCGUUCCUCCCGGAUGUUGUAGCCCAGGGUGUUGCACCGGUUCUUCCUACAGCUGAGGCACAAUCCUUUGUCAAAAGUGUUGAUGUCGUUGCACCAGUAUGCUGUGCUUUGCUUGUCCUCGUGAAGCAGAGAGUCGAUGAACAAGUGAACUGACCUCUCAUGGGCACAUUUCACAGUUUGUGUGAUACCUGAAAAUACACAAACAGUACUUUUGUUGUUCCUUUUUACUGUUCCAGCUACAGAGUAGCCAACUGUGUAUGUCACUGUGCUUCCCCCACCCCUCUCACUACUGAAUAUUUUGUUUCAGAAGUCAUACAUGCAGCAACAGCACUUUCAGGAUCAUCCAAAAUAGUUUGGCUGAACCCACAUGCUAAUAAAACUGAGUAAUUUGCUGCUUACAUUUGUUAAGCCUGCCUGCACAAGGCAGUAAAUAUCAGCCAGGACAGUGCAAUCAAGUUUCAUAAGUUAAUUAAUGAAUUACAAUAUGAGGCUACAUGCAGCCUUUCAGAUCGUGCUGUACUCAAGACUGCUGUCAAUGGCUGAACACUGUUGACUUUUGGAUGUUUACAUAACGUCAUAUUUUGUCCCCAUCAGAGUUAACAGGCUCUAAUGUUGAAUUUUCCCUUCAGCUACAACUUGGAGAAAGGGCACAAAAAAUGUAUGAAAUACAUAAUAUUUACUAAAUACAUAGAUGUGCUUUUAAGAUUAAUGUGUUUUCUUUUCUAAAACAAAAUUUUACUUCUAAAAAUUUCAUAUCAAAUUAUGGAAGUUAUUUUCUUCUGUGUAAUUUGAAUAUACCACGAUGGACUGUUUUUACAUGACUUCACUGUUAAGAUUUCUAUAUGAUGUCAUGAAUUACUGCUAAGAAGUAAGACCUACUUUUAUAUAGUGUAAUGAUAGUUGAGAAAUGUUUUGCAGUACAUAUGCUAAGUGAACAGCACUCUUGUUUGUUUUUUCAAUUAACAGUUCUGGUUGACACCACGCAUCAGUACCUUUAUCUUUUUUCAGUAUGUUGCAUUGUCUCUGUAUGUUUAUGUUUAGGUACUUUGGAAAUGGGCUUCUAUAUGUAUAAAAGCAGCUUGGAACGUUGACAGUGAAGUCCCAGAGAGAGCAUCACCCUCUGCAGCUGAAUGAUGGUGACUUGGGGAAAGGUGAAUUAAGGUGAGUGGCACAGCUUUGUGUUUUGGUUCAUUUGAAAUAACUAAUUGCACACUAGAUGAAUCUGGCUUAAUUAAAAUAUUUUUUCUCAUUUCCUCUACCACCAAAACAAAUACCUUCGAAAAUUAUUCAAAAGUUCUCAACAGCAGUGUACUCAUGGUCUUGUUUUCAGAAGUGCUAGGCAGCCACAUUCCUUAGUCAGUGAGAAUGAUUUGAGCUCAGUAUAUGUAAAAAUCUAUAACCAAUUUCUAGAAAAGAAACUUCUUUGUUUAUACUGGGAGAUAAUGCUCCCCAUUUGAUGCUGUUUUAGCACCAUAGAUCUAUGUGGUUUCCCAGAGACAGUGUAAAUCCAGCUGCAGUGCUGUUGCCCUUGCUGUCCCAAUUGUUCUUACCAGUGAUCCCAUAUUGUGCAAUGUGGUUAUACACAUGCAUGAAGUGACAGCCAGGCUGAAAGGUGCCUCCAUUGGGAUAAAAAUCGAAAUGGGCCACAGGCUGUUUGAUGCCAACACUGAGACCCAUGUGCUGUUUAGUGAAUGUAUGAAUUGCAUCUACGAAGUUUGCAUCAUCUGGAGAUAAACGGUCUGUUGGUGACAUUCCUUCAAACAAGGGGCCAGCGGGGUCAAGGCCUGCAACAGAAGCAAACAAUCCAAUUGUGAUAUAGUAUAGAUGGGCUUUUCUUGUACUGUUUUGAGAAAAAAUGUCUGAAAGAUAUUUAAAAACAUAGCACUUGAAAUCUACAAGGUCUUUCACAGACAGAAACAAUGCUAAGAACACUUGUACUGCAGAGGGUACAUGGAUACACCAAAAGGUAAAUACGGACAUAAUAAACAGUAACUGCUAUACCCACAAGGACACAGACUGAGAUAGAUGUGUUUGUUAUAGGUAAGCCAAGCUCGCUACUGCUUUGUCUUUUGAGAAAUGUUUACUUAAUUUUGUUCUUUGAUACUCUAGAGGUCAUGCGCUUCAGAGGCCCUUUUGAAAACAGCAGUCCUACAACAAAGCUGACUUUUAGCCUACAUUUGAGACUUGUAAUUUUUAAAGCUUCACUUCCCAGAAUCAUAGGUGCUGUGUAUAAUAAUUUUCAAAUUACUGCAGUACUCAGAAAAAUAACAUUCCAGUUAUGCAUGUUGUUUUUAAUUCACUGGGUGCUUUUGUAUAAUACCCUUCUUGGGAACUGAUUGCUGGAAAAAUACUUCCUGCAUAGUUCAAAGCUGCUGUUUAGCUUGGAGAACAAGCUUCUAAAAUUUCAGAUUCUUCAGUUGGUAGUAUGGACUACUGAUGUAGGUGCAUAUAUGUAACUGGACAACGCUAACAGCUGAGGCUUCAAGUAGGAUGACAAGGAUGUCUCCCUGAAGGCAUGCCUUUUCCUUUUAAUAGGUUGUGUCACUAUGAAUCUUUUGAGCUUAUUGUUACAAGACAGUAAUUGUUGCUAAAGAGUACACAUAUAAUAAAUGUGCCUUAAUCUUUUUGCUUAUCUGUUAUCAAGAUUUUGAUGUGUUAAUGUGUUUUGAAUAAGCAGUGCUAAGGAGCUCAAAUCCUUUGGUGUUGUAUACAGGUGUCAAUAUUGUGAUGUGUAAUGUGAAGCAAGCUUCUUGCCAUGCAGGCACCAUCACAAGAGUUGAUUAAGUAAGGGACUGGGGUAUAUGGUCAUGAAUCCAAGAUCAGAACAGGGAAACUAUUCCAGGGAGGUGACACACAGAGAGCUGGGGAAAGCAGCUGGAACUGGAGGUGAGAGCACUGAGUGCACCCAAGGAUGGGUGGAAGCUUGAAGAUGAUGUUUAUCUUAUCUCUAAUUCUUUAUCUGCAAUGGCAAACCCUAGGAAGGGCAUACAUUUGGACUUCAGAUGAUGAGUAAGUUUGGUCUUGGCCAUGUAGGAACAGAAUGUCAGACUUUAUAAGUUCAUAAGACCAAAUAAAGCAAAAUAGAUUUGUUUCAAGGAGAUAACUCAGCAUCUUCUCCUCCUCUGCAGAAUUAUUGGUGUGAUCAAAACCUUGGAUAUUAUUUUUUGCUUUAUUGAUGUUAUGGUGUGUGUGGUUUUUUUUGUUUGUUUCAUUGGUUUGUUUUUUUUCCUUUUUCUUACAUACGAAUUAACAUGUUUCUGGUCUCUUCCAGCAUUAUAUCAUGAGUCUACAGUGAGUCUACCUUUAAGGGCACGGUAGAUUUGCCUACAAUGUUUCAUUUAUUAAAAUAGAGUUGUACUUUACUUUGUUAAAUCUUCUCUCAAAACACACUCAAGUUGGUAUUUACAGUGUCUACAAUUGUAAAUGGCUUUGCACUGUAUAGUCUCAUUGCAUAUAAAAAUAUUAUGCAGGUGAAUUAAAUUGCCCAUACAUGUGAGUAUUUUAAUUUUGAAGAGAAUGCUCUUUGGAAAGGAGGCUACAUACAAAAGGUAUUUAGCUAGGGCAGGGAAAAGGCACAAUAAAUGCAAACAUUGGCCAGCAACUUUAGUUAAAAUUCCAGCAGUUGCUGCUGUGAUUAAGAAAAAUAGAAAUGAGGAGUCCUUAAUUCUAAUCUGAACUGACAUGCCAAAUAUUUGUGUAAUGUAGGAAAAGAAAUCAGUCAGGUGUUACAUUUAUUAAAAUAAUCUUUACCUGUAAUUCUUCCAAUCUUGUUUGUACCGCUGAUGUAACUACCAGCAAACCCUGAAACAUGAGCUCCUAGGCUGUACCCAAUUAGAUGAACAUUGCUCCUGGAAAACUGAAUGGAUUUCUGGAAGAAAACAGUAGUUUGAUUUAGAUGCAGAAAAUGCAACAAGUAAACUACUAAAAUGCUUAACUACAAACAAGGAAUACUGUGAGUUGUAACUCAAGAAAUUUGUAUGUGUGUUGAUGCUAAAGGUGAAAUGAAGUGCUUGGAUCAUGCACUAAAUUUCUUUGCCGGCUGAGUGUUAUUCCUUGCCUCCUUUGUUUGCAUCAGGAAAAUGCCCUGCAUCUGGGCACUUGAACUUUCAUGGUAUGCUCAGGAAAACCAUCGACUGUUUGUUGGAAGUGAUGCAAAUGGACACAAUGCAAAUGUGUGUAAGUGGUGACUCUGGCUCUCCUUCAUACCUGCUCUCCCUAACUGGGAACAUUGUCUAGUAACUUCUAGCCCUGUCAUUUCUGUUGAAGAGCAGUUUAGCCCUUUAGUGGUAUUGACUGCAAAUCUUUAUGCUUUGCAGCUUAUUUUCCUUCUACAACAGGCCCCACCAUGUUUAAAUUAAUGUAUUCAAAAAUUCAUAGUGAGGUGCAGAAAUAAAAUUUCAUUUCCAAUUAGGUAGCUUGAAUUAUUACUGGAGAUGGCUGAAAUAAGAGUUACACAGGGUGCACAGUUCAUGUAUGUAAUUCUCUUUCUAGUGUUUUGCUUUCUGCUUUUUCUAAAAUAGUUCUGGAGACAAGCAAUCCCUUGCAGACUCCUCUAUAAUAUUUCCAUUCAGGUGGCUGCAGGUAUAGCUAAAACUGCUGUAAGAGACAGCCUUGUUCAUACCUAGUGGGAGUUUUGAUGAGUAGUCACUACAUUAGCAUGGCUCUGCACUCAUUACUGCCUCCAUGCCAUCUGCCUUGUUAUGUGUAUUUGUCCUCUUAAAAGGGCUCCUUUUAAACUUUGGAUCACCAAGCAAUUAUUUUAGAAUAAUCUUUGGGAAACAGAGGAAAAACAAACACACACAAAAAAAAAAACAACAGACAUGAUGUCACGCUUGAACUCUGAGCUAAGGAUAGAUCACAGGAACCCAUUUUGCUGAACUAGGCACUCACAAAUGAUCAUGUGCCUGCUUUCAAAGUACAGGACACUUGCUCUGACUUUCUUUUACUGACCGAGUUCUGAACUCGAAAUAUUGUUGAGUAGUUUAACAAUUUAGAGAAUGUCAGCUGUCUGCACAAGUGGGAAUUGAAAAACUGAAGUAGCGUGAAAUGAUCUCCCCUCUGAAGACACAUGGAAGUAUUCUGAUAAAAAAGACCACUUGCUAUUUUUUCUCUUACAUGGUAAAAAAUUUUUAUGAAAUCAUCUGAAAAUUUAUGGAAGAAAAAUUACAGGAUAUUGAAGAAACUUGAUUGAUUGAAAUGGAUAAGCAUUAACCAGUUAGUAUUUAUAUCUUACCUCCAGCCAUUCCACAAAGUCUGCUAUCUCCUGUCCUAUGUAGCGUGUGUUCUGUACAGCAAUGGGAUAGUGCUGGUGAGCAAAUGUAAGCCAAUCUGCAAUGAUCACAUUAAUUUGUUUAUGCUGAGACUUCAGAGCUGCUGCCAUUUUCCAAAUCCAACUUUCUAAAAUUCCAUCCACCUGUUUAGAUUAAAACAAAAAAACAUUAAAUGUAGUCUUAAGAGAAACCAGUGUCUACCAAGUGUUCUGUGUGAGAAGCUCAGGGAGAUGUAAGCCGUAAUACAAACGAGGAGGGCUAGUGCCGGAAACUAAGGUUUUUGAGGCCUUCAGCAUGUUUCAUUGCUGAGAAUCCUUGAUUUUUGGUGGACAAAAAAAAAAAAUCAAGAAUAUAUAUAAAUAUUUUAGGCAUGUGAUCUCUUAUCACUGAAAUGAUGUCCUUAAAUAUUUUCACUCAUCCCGGGAUAAUUGGGAUUAUUGAGUAAAAAGAGACAGAAAUACCCCAAAAGUUUAAUUUUUUUUUUUUCAAGAGCGGCUGUCCAUGUAAAUUUAUACUGAAAGGGAAGGGGAGGAAAGCUGAAAUGCUACAGACGUGUGAAUGUUUGCCUUUUACAGCUAUUCCAUUUUGAUAUCUAUUUUUUCUCUUUUCUCACUCUUUUUUCAAGGACUGCCUCACACUUUCUGUAUUAGCAUCUACAACUGCUUCCAAUUUGAUGAACCAGAAUUACUAUUUAAUAUUUCAUAGUUAAGAUGAGUGAGUUGUAUUUCCUCAAAUAACAGAACAUCCUAAUCUCUUCUGGUCAUUUGACAGAAUUUGGAAGUCUCAGUUUUGGGUUUCCAUUCAUGCUUCUCUGAGAGCAUAGUACUUCUGCACAUGAAGUUAAUGUGAAUGUAGAACGUUGAUGGCAGCAGCCUCAGCUCCAUAGUUUCUCUUUUAGAAGAGCAUAGGUUUUGAACAUAUUCCUGUGUGUGGGAGUAUUGGCUAAUGUAAUCUAGGGCAACUUUCCAUCUCUGCUGUUCUGUGUUGUAAGAGAGUUAUGUGCAUCAAGGGUGUUGCUCAAGGUUUCUCUGGUUGUAUAUUUGCAGUGGCAAAAGGAAGGUGUGUUUCACCUCUUAUUUGGUGGUACUGAUUCUAUGAGAAUCAGGUAUCUGUUCAAAUUAGAUGACUUCUUAUCUUGCCUUGUCUUUUGUUUCUUUUUCAACUGAGAAGCUGUUAAAAUUUCACUCUAGCACAGAAUGCUAUGCAAAUGAGCAAUUUUUUUUAAUUUUUCUCUUUUUUAACCAUUUAACUGGAAGCAGUUCAGAGAUAAUUCACUGACUUCUCAACUGAGAAAGCUUAUAGAGAAGUUCUCCCUGCAGGUGUGCCUGUGAGAAAGAUGUGGGCAGUUUGUGUGCACUUCUUUUCAAGAAGUCUGUAAAUACCUGGCAGUGAACAUACCAGAGAAAUGAAACCUAGUAUUCAGUCCUCCAGAGGCAUAGCACAUUAAUUCUGCUGCUGCUCUAACUCUGCUGGCUUUAAACCAGGGCUGAAACUAAUUCCUGGCAUGGGAUUCCCAUAAGAAAAAUGGUUUCUCAAGCAUUCCUUCAGAAUCUCAGUGGGCAAUUCCCACUUUUCAUUAUCUCUAUCUAUGAUUGCCACCAUCUUUGAGAUCCCAGUUUUCCUUCUGAAGUUGCUUUUGGCACUAGCAUAACGAGGGGGAAAGUAUAUCAAAUCAGAUGUAGUUUGAGUUAAAAAUAAAAUGUGUGUUCAUACCGACCAGCCAUGGACUAUCAUCACGAGAGGAAGAGAGGCAUUGAAACUGCAUUUGUCAAGAGUCUCCAACUGAUUAAACAAAAUCUGACAUGCUUCUCCAGUUGUAUCUGUAUAGAGUUGAAAUUUGGUUUCUAAGCUUUGCUGGUCUUUCUUUGUUCUAGAGUGCUGACUCUGUGAUCCCAGUGCCUCUGAAAUGAAAUUCAUAGUGAGUCAUAAUAGUAUGGAGUCUAAAACCUGAAGAAGUUACUAGUAAGACAGCUUGUAAGAUACAGUAAACUGUAAGAUCAAAAUUCAAAACUAAUUGUUACCUACUCCAGGUGGGCCUAAGCUGUGCAUUUUGUGUCCAAAAAAUUGAUUUAUAAUUUCAAAGCUUGAGAUAAAUAGAUGGAUUCAGAUGUACAUCUAUACUAUGCAAUAACAGUUGACUUCUAGACAACAUAAUGAAUGAUUCUUUCUCCCUAAAAAGAUUUGAUGACAUAUUCUAGUUGUAAAACUUAACAAACUCUUACAUUGAAGUAGCUUGGUGCAUUUAGAGUAGCUUUUUCAGAAAUGUCUAUUAAGUACCUGGGAUGGUAUCUGUCCUUAAGAAAGGAGUGGCAGGGUGAACUGUAGUCUCAUCAACAUUAUGAAUUGAGAAGGAAAAAAACAUUGAAUAUAGAGAGAUUGCUGAAAAAUGGGGUAUAAUAAAAUAGAAGCUUACAAAAAGCACACUGUCAUAAGCAAGUGUAGCAUUUCUUUCUGAUAAGACUUGAUACUUCUUAUUUUAUGUUGUUUAUCUUAGAUUUAUCCAGAUAAUAAAUUUAUUAAGUAUAGAAUGAGUGAGAAUUAGAGGAAGAAAUGUCAGGAUGUGAUGAACCAGGCAAAUGAGAGGCUACAGAUCUUUGAAAAGGAAACUUUUAGAGUGGAGAAACUGUUCUCCCUGGGGGCUAUUUUUUUGGCUAAUCACAGCGUAGUAAUUCAAUGUAAGAAGCUGUCAGGAAAGGUACAAAACUGACAAACAUUGGAAGGCAUUUGCUAAUGCUGCAGAGACCACAAAGUUAAACACGAACAGCUUGAGGACCUUGAAAAUACAGCAGUAGAAGCAGGUAGAAAUUUUAAAUUAUGAAACACAAGGUCAUACAGUUGAUAUGGAUGGCUCUGUAACUAGAGCUCAAAAUUGGAAGCAACAAAAGGGUAAAAAGACAAUGGUAAUAAAUAGCAAAACUGACUGAGUCAUUGCUGUGAUUUGGCUCUGAGAAAAGAAAAUUUUAUUCCAAGAUGCAUUAAAGAGAUGUUUUUGAUACGGAGAGAAUGUUUGUGCCAAUAAUACAUUUAGUAGCAGCAUAGGGAACAGUGUACAUAGCUCUUAUUAUCACCUUGAGGUCAUACCAUUUCAAGCUGCAACAGUGGCUCAGCAGCACCUCUGAAAUGGUCAUGGAGGAAUCAGUGCAUUUAAUGCAUGUCUGUGUUCACAGCAACUUCUUUGCUCAUAGAGGCUUUCAGAAUGCAUCCAAAAUCAUAAUGUAUUCUUUUCUGCAUUAUAUUUACAAAUACAUCUUGAUGCACUCUACAACAGUGCUCUAUUUUUAGCACACAAAGGAAAACAUAGAGAUUAUUUAACUUAUCUUCCAUUUUAUAUAUAUGCUUUCUUUGGUUUAUUCCUCAUUUUCACGUUCUCCCAGUGCCUGUUACAGUGCUUGACACUUUGUCGCUCUAUUGUUAGUACAUAUUUCAGAAAACAAUCAUGAAUAGCUGUUUUCUUUAUACAACCACUGUGAGAAUGUUUUGUGUUGUUUUUUACUUGCCAGUAAGUCUAAGAGAGGGAGUUAAAAAUAUAGUUUGAACUUCGUGGCUUUCAAAAGUGAAAAUUUUGAAUGGAAUCAAUUAUCAUUAGACAACUGCAUCGAGUUAUUAAUCCAUGUAAUGACUUGGAGAAGGAAAUAGUACCUAAAGAGCUUGAUAUCUUACAACACUUGCUAAAAAUGUCAUGCUUGUGACUCAAGACAUGAUCAAAGGCAACUGCAAAGUUUCAUAGGUAAGUCUGCAAAAACUGCAAAAUAAAACUGCUGAAUAUUUGUCAGUGCUUGUUGCAGCCAAGUUUGGAAGAUUUUUGGAAAAUUACCUCUUAGUCAGGUGAGUUGCUGUCUGACUGUAGAAUCAUGGAAUGGCUUGAGUUGGAAGGGACCUUAAGGAUAACCUCCCUGCUGUGGGCAAGGCUGCUACCCACCAGCACCUCCAGCGAUGAGGCAUCCAUGGCUUCUCUGGGCAGCCCGUUCAGUGCCUCACUACCCUCUGAGUAAAAAAUUUCCUCCUAAUGUCUAAACUAAAUUUCCCCUCUUAGUUUAAAGCCAUUCCCCCUUGUCCUGCCACUAACAAGCUAUGGAAAAGGUUGGUCUCCCUCAUUUCCUUGUUCUCUGUAGAUCGUAGUUCAACAUGAAUCCUUCAGAAAGGCAGUACAAUAUGGUCACGUUGAUCUGUAUGCUAACAUAAAUUACCUUCAUGCAGAACAGCAUGAAAAAUGACACAAAAUUUCAUGACUUCUUGGUACCCUGGAGGAAGCUCAUCCUUUCCUUAAUUUGUGUUAAUGAUGUGUCUGUGAGAUUCAGUAAGACUGCUUUUGUAAAUACCACUUAAUUGUAGUGUGGCAAAGUUUCUUCAUAAUUAUUUUGAGGUUAGUUUUGGCACGAAAUGACUAUGACUUGCUUUGUUUGUUUGUUUGCUGAAAAGUAAAACCAAAAGACUGAUUCCAGGUUUAACAAAGUGAACCAUUUCUACCUUUUUGAAUUUAAAAAAAAAAAAAAAGGAAAAAGUCUACAUUCCUGGUAAGAGUAGCUGUAGCAGCCACCUGAAUGCUAUGGUUAUUAGAAUGCACAAGAUAUAAAUUCAUUUAUUAUUUGCCAUUAUUCGUAUUUAAUUAUUACUCCUACUACUAGUGUAUUGCUUUAGGUGAUAGCAGUCCUGGUUAUAUCUCCUAACUAAGAUGGAAGGAACAUGUGAAGAAUAAUGAGGCCAGUAAAUAUGAAGAAACAAUAUUUUCUCCUCUAAAAGGAGGACUUGCGAAUACUAUAUGAUAAUAUAUAAUAAUAUGAUAAUUCCAUAUGGAAUAUACUUAGUGGAUUUGAACUAAAUUUUCCAUUUAGCUGUAGAAGCAGAUUAAUCCAGGAGAGUGACUUGGAUUGAAUCAUCUCAAAAGGUGAUCAAUUGAAUAUUUUACUGCAGAAUUUCUCAUUGUCUUUUGAAAUCUACAGGUGCAAUAUUGAAGUUUUAAGACUAGUGAAUGAAUACUGGAAUCUAGACAAAGGUUUGGACACUUUUCGUGGUGUGAAGCCAUAAAAUAUUGUAUGCUUUAUGGGCAAAGAGAUUGAGAAUCUAAAUAUAUUUCUUUCUAUAUCAUGUCUGAGUGGGCAUAAAAAUACCACACAUCUGUUUCAUGUCACAACAAAAUCUACCUAAAGAUGUGUCAGAAUGGCAAAAUAUUCUGAAAGUAUAUAAUAUUAAGAGAAAAAUUGUAGUAUUUGGUAAACCAUGUAUUUUAAAUUCAUCUCAAGAUACAGCAUUGAAAACUUGUAUUUAAAUUGACAUUCCCAAUUAAGUGAGGUAGUUUUUCAUGCUGAGAAAAAUGAUGUUCAGCUCCCUUCUUCAGGAAUAAUUUCUCAGUGAGAUAUUACUGAAAAGGAUUGCAGAGAAUGUCUCAGUGGCACUCACCUAAUCCAUAGGCAGUUGAAAAAGUAAGUAAGCUUCAACAGAAGCUGAACUUUGGACUCUGGAAUGUAUCACAGAGACCCUCAUUUUCAAUAGAUGGAUUUUUAUUGUCACUUAGAAGAUGAGGUAAUGACAGGGAUGUGUUCAGGUCCCUUAAUACAAUAAAUGCUUCCCUUAGAGCCAUUCUUGCUAAAAGUAUAGUUGUCAGUGUUGCAGUUGGCUAUAGGAAUACCACAUGUACUUAGCAUAUCCAUGUUUAUGAUUUUUCUUGCUAAAUUAAUAUUUUUCUUGUUAGUUUUGAAUACUGCAUUGCCCCAAAGCACUGAAAAGAGUCACAUCUUUUUUGGUUAUUGUGCUUUAUUUUUCUAAUUGUUCUCUUCCUUGUAAAGCUCUUUUUUACUAUGUGAAACUUAAAAAUUAUUUUCCACAUUUAUUUAGAAUCAAGUAUCAAAGUAAUGAUUGAAGAACAAGGAAAAUAAAGAUAAUAGUUUCCCUCCCAUAACCUGCCUCCCAACUGUUAAUUGUUCCUUUUGCCUUUUUGUAUCAGGUGAAAAGUUAAUGGAGGAGUACUCAAAGACUUGUCCAAUUAAAUUAGGUGAAUAAUUUUUGCCUCUUUUAUGUCAUUGUGAAUUAAUACAAAUAUAUUAGUUCUCCAAUUAAAAAAAAAAAAAAAGUGAGCUUAAGUAUAUUAAUCAAUAAGCCUGUAAGGCAACUGUGGCAAAGAGCAGGGAAACCAGGUCACAAAGAAGCCAGCAAUGAUUCCAUGUUCAGAACUCAGCUCCUGGAUUCCAGGCUGAUGCCAUGUGCCGAGCAGAGCACACAGUCUUGCUCUCCUCUCUUGAAAAGGAUGGAGAAGGAUGCACCAACCACACAACUAUUAAACUGCAUACAUUAUUUAUGGGGUAACAAAUAUGCUGUUCUCCUAGUUUCCUCAUCUAAAGUAAAGCACUUCUAAAUGUGAAUGUUUAAAUGCUGCUUGUGCAAUCCAUAAUUGCUAAAUUGAAAUUAGUACCUCAAGGGUUUCAUCUGACCUAAUCUGAAUUCUAUGAACCGAAAUACUGGGAAAUCAUUAGAAUAUUAAUCUUUCCAGGAAUACUUUGGGCUAACCCAUAAUAUGGAUCUCAAAUUGUUACUACAAAUAAAUGCUGACAACAACAAAAAUAAAUCUCCAUCUGUUACCUAACGCAAACUUUGAUAGUUUCAAGUGAUAUUUAGAAGUAGGUAGAUGUAGCGGAAGAAAAUACUUGCAAUAUUUUUUAGUCAUACACUUCACGUUCAUUUGACCUUUUAUUUUCUGCAGCCUUUAUUUCCAGUACUAUUUUCGCUCCCUUUGUGGAAGUGCUUGUUUGCAAAUAUGUGCAUGACUAAAUUCUUGGCCAGAGUUUCUGCCAAAAUAAUCAGAUGCCUGAUUUGAAGUGUGCGUUUCCUUGAUAUUAAAGGCAAAAAGAAGAAAUGGUCUCAAACUGCCUGGAUGAAAUAUAUUCAUACAAUACUAUCAGAGAAGAUAGCAAAUGAAUAAAGACAAAUAUGAAACAAAAUUAGGACAGGAAAUGUAACAACUAAAGGUGAUGUGACAUUGAGAUCUAUAAAAUCAUAAACUGUACGGAAGAAAGGGAGAAGGGAUCAGUUGUUUGUCUCGUUCUAGCACAAGAUGUGAGGGUUAUUUUGAUAGCAAAAGUUGAAGCAAUUCUCCACAAGAUGUGUACUUAAUCUGAGGAAUUCCCUGCCAGAUGUGAUGUGGGUAGUAAGCACUUAUGGAAGGUCAGUUGGAACGUGGAAGCGUUUAUGUAGGAGAAAUCCACUGAGGAUUACUAAAUGGACUGACAAUGCCAUUUACUCAGAAGAUCCUUGAUCUGCAAAAAGUUGAUGACUGUGACAGUAUAUGGGGGAAGUGUUACAUGUAUACAUAAACUUUUCCUGCUCAGGAAGCAUCAGCUGUUGGCCACAGCAGCAGUGAAUGAACUAGGUGAACCUUUGGUUUCAUCCGCUGCAGUUGGUGUACUGUUUGAUGUAGGAUAUGGCAUUGUAGGAUAUGAAAGCAUUUUCCUGCUCAGUUCCAGUAAAAUCUAAGCCCUAAACCCAGAAAAAGUAGACAGGAGGAUUCAAACUGCAUGUGUAACUUGCUUAUAACCUUAUGGUUCACAACACUUUCUUCAAUUUUAUUUCUGAGGAACCAAGCAAAAAAUCUUUAUUACCUAUAUGCAUUUUCCUUGCUGCCAUUUCUUGUAUACUGACACUAUCGCAACAGGAGUAAACUGAGUAGUGGCGGGGGGAAUAGACAGCUUAGCAAAAGAUUAUACAUUUUUGGAGUUUUAUUUUUAGGAGAGCUGUGCUGGAAGUGAGAGUUCAUUUUCUGCUUCUGGCCUCGCUUUUUUUGCUGUGUGAUCCUGCAGUGAAGUCACUUGUCUGGUGCCAACUUGCUAUGUCUGAAAUUCAGCAUAAUUUCUGGAUCACAGCAUUAGGUAGGACAAGGAGAAAUGAAAUGCAUGAAGCUUAUGCAUGAAGAUCAGAAAAAAAUAAUUAGGAACUUGAAACAAUUUAGAAAAUAGAGGCAACAGAAUCUUUAGAAUAAUAGCAAAGAAAGACAUUAUAGAGUGAAACUGACAGGGCUGUGAGUCUGGACCAGUUUAGUAUAUUCUAGCUCCGUUCCCUGCAAGGUGGACGGCAGAGCUAGCUGCAGAGCCAGGCUGGGAGGUGCAGGGGGCAGGCACUGUAUUCAUAUGCACAGCCAGUCUUGUCUGCACAGGAAACUGGGUGAAUUGUUAGUUUACUUCUGAAUUUUUGGUAUUAACUGCUCUCAGAAAGUACCCUUGUGAAUAUUUAUGCUUGGCACCAUUCUGAUACUCUGAAUAAGAAAAACGUCUGUUCUGGAGUUUGCAGAAAGGCAGUGGGAAAUAAAGAGGUCAGUGGUGCAUGGACAACGAUUGAGAGUUGCAAUGGAAAGGAAAGAAAGAGCAGAAUUUGGAUGAGUUUUAGCCUUUGGGCGGAAGUAAAAAUUAGGAGGAGAUGACACAUCAACCUCAGGCAGCCCAUUGGUUAAGUGAGAGAAUCUGCCACUGUUUGACUGUAGCUAAAUCCCAGAGUAAGCGGGCUUUGUUCAUUUCAGCAAGUAGGACUAAGCAUCCAAAGGCCUCAGUCUAAGAAUGGUGACCUGGCAGCUGAUCCCAGGGCAUUUUUGUAUUUCCAAGAUAUCUAUAUUUAAAAGAAAUGAUGGGAGAAUUGUAAGGAGUUCUUGGGACUUAUGUUUUGCUUUCAUCAUCCUCUUCUCCCUUUCUUUUUUCCUCUUCUUCUCAAAUAUGACGAUCCUCUUUUUCUUAUAUUUUCACUGUGCCUUUUGAUGUUUCUAUAUAGCAUUGUUUUGCUUUACUUUUGCAAUUCUUGUCUGAACAAAAAUCCUGUUUUUGCAGCACAUAGAAAUUGUUUGCUUUGAGAAUCACUAGCUAUGUUCAUCUAAGCAGGAGUUUGAUGCUUUCACUGGUAUGGUAUUUAAACACUUUUAAGCAUCAUUUUAAGUAUAUCCUGAAUUUCUCCAAACAUGUAUCUUACAAUGAAGGCGUGCAGUUCUUUUGAAACUUCUGCAGUGAACGUGGUUUAUAAAAGUAUCUUCAUGCAGUAAUGUCUAGAAGUGAGGAUCCUUAUCAAAAAUGGUCUGGAAUUAGGUUUAUUUUAAAAAGGAUCCUUUAUCACAAAAUCACAGAAUGGCCUGGGUUGGAAGGGACCUCAAGGAUCAUGAAUCUCCAACCCCCCUGCCAGGCAGGGCCACCAACCUCCCCAUUUACUAGACCAGGUUGCCCAGAGCCCCAUCCAACCUGGCCUUGAACACCUCCAGGGACGGGGCAUCCACAACCUCUCUGGGCAGCCCGUUCCAGCACCUCACCACUCUCCUGGUAAAGAACUUCCCCCUAACAUCCAACCUAAAUCUUCCUUCUUUCAACACAAAACCGUUCCCCCUUGUCCUGCUGUUAUCUACCCUUUCAAAGAGUUAUCCAUGUAUUGUGGAUGAAUUCUAAGUAGAUUUUGCCUGAUGAACCUUUGUUAGGGAUUCUAUUGUUGCUGUCAUACAGUAUUUAUUAUGAUUUUCUGUAUAUAGAUGAACUUGUGCCCUAUGAUCGUUGUUAUCAUGUGAGCUGUAGUUCACAAACUUCUUGAAUACUUUUGUUCAGCACCCUAGUACUACUUUCUUCUCUUUUAUUAAGAGUGAUCUCACAAUGGUGUACUAUGAAGACUUGUUAGCAUAAGUUUGGGCUCAAUAAGCAUUACUAAAAUCUAUCCCAAAACAAUCAGGAAAAUGAACAAAUGUAUGAACUACACCUCUUGUUUGAAAGCUUGCAAUGGAAAAAGUUCCAGAUCCAACGAGUGUCUCACAACAAUUUCAGAAGAGUCUGAAAGCCAGGACAGACAGAAAAAGGAUUCUGCAGGGAUGCUUAUGUUACCAUGAUGCUUUUGGUCUGUGAGCAGAGAGUUCUGGACUCCCAGUCAGACAAAGCUGCUUUUUCCCCUCUUCACAAGUUUCUGAUAAUAAAUAUACUUUGAACAGAAGUACCAUUUUCCACAUGACACUGUUUUCCUACUUGGAAUGGGGUUUUAUUUUAUAAAUGUUUUCCAUGUUGGAAGUGCAGACUGUCUACAUUCAUCAGCUGCUCUUGCUCCUUCUCUCCAGAAUCCUUCAGUCUUCACAAACAUACAAAUAUGAGAAGAGAAAUGGGUCCCUUGAGUUUCUUUGGUCUUUGCUUGUGAUAUUUCACUAGGGAGAAAUUUACUGAACCAAAUUAACUGAACCAUGAAUGAGCUGCUUCAAAUACUUCUCAUGCUGUUGGAUUUGCUGCUGGAUGGCUAACGAAACUGCCUUGUGUUCUGUCACCAGGAGCUGGGCUACAGAAUCCAACAGGGCAGUGCAGUGGAAGUGUACUGAAGCCAGGUUUGUUUUGCCCAAGCAAAUUUGAUCUGCUUUUGUCAAGAAAAUCCAACAAACGUGGAAAAUAUUAUUUUUUAUUAUAAAUGUUAGAUUUGUGGGCUUGAUAAGUUGGAUCAAUGAGAUUUUUCCAAAAGAAGUGCCUAUUUUACUUAUUGAAAUCUCAUCUUCCAGAAGUGGAAAUUUAAGGAUUUUGUUUGUGGCAUUUGCUGGGAUGAAAACAGAAAAAUCCUCUGUAAAGGAAAAAUCCUCUGUUAAAGGUGAGGAUGGGAUCAUUAAACAAUGGACAUAUUAAAUCUGACAGCCUGGAAAGCACAAACAAAGAAUUAAGAGUUCAGUUGCCAGAUGGUGAAAAAUAAGUUCUUCAUAGUUGAUCACGCAGCAGCAAGGCUAACAAAGAGCCUGCAGAUUGCCUUUUGAAAUCAGUGGGAGCUGCGAGCCCUUAGUGCCUUUCAUGGGUUGUGACUGGUUUGUGGGCUUUCACCUCAGGAGCUCCCUGAGCCUGCCUAAUGCUUUAGAAACUUUAGUCCCCUUACAGCUUUGCCUGCUGACAUAGCUUCUGAGCUUUAUUACUGUUAACAGGUUUUAGAUCUCUGAGUCCUUUCAUGUCCAAGAAGUGAGUAUGAACUGCAUGGUAUAUGUAUAUACAAUAUUACUGAAUUACAACUGCUUUGCUGGAAAUGAGAUGAAAGUUAGCUGGCUAAUUAUUGGAUCUCAGCGUGUGGAAGCUUUCCUGUAAGAUUCACAUAAGGAGUUAUCUCAUAGCGGGCUUGUCCCUUCUAUGACAAAUGUUGAAUUUGAUCAUGCUGAGUUUGGCUCCUUACUAAGUAGGAUGAUUCACCAAGUUUGCACGUAGCCUGGGUAUAGCUUAGAUGAGAAAGGACAGUAAAUCACUAAAUUGAAUUAACACAGAGUCCUGAGUAAGUGCAUCUUGUGAGAUGAUACCACUAAAAGCACUGUAUGCUGACCAUCUAAACCUGGAUGGUUUUAUCCAAGGUACAUCUAGGUAAAGAGCCUGGAGGUACCUUGCACCCAGGUAAUUAGCGGUACUUCUUGGGAUAUAAACAGUGGAGUAUGCUUGUGGAUAUAACAUUAGCUGAUUGGUGAAGUUACUAAUUCAAUUUCCUUGUUUGUCACAGACAAGGUUAGCCUCUGUAGCCUCUGUUUUGUGUUCUGCCACUUCAGUGUUAUAAACCAGUCACCUUUGGGAAUAACUCAGAUAACAUGAAGAUAAAUGUCAUAAUUCUUGUGUUUUCUAAUGUGUAUUAGAAAAAGUAAGGUAGUGCUGAUAGCUGUUACCCAGUUUAACAGACAACAGCAGUAAAGAAUAAAUCUGCUGGUAAAUGACAUGGGCUUAUAGAAGAUAGCUUUCAAAAAUACUUUGUUACAGACACUUUACCACAAGAGAAAGAAAGCUGCUGUUUGCUGUCCAGAUUCUAUAAUCUGCAGUGCUUCUGAGUGAGUCACCUACCCACCAAAGGGUAACACAUUAGCUAGCUGGAAAAAGUCAGGACAACAUCUCUAAUGAAAUCCCUGGUAGGCUUGUAUAGCUGUUUUGCAAUGGUUUAGGAAUACGGAAAGAAAAGAGAUUCUUUCAAUUUAAAAUAUAGCAGUUAGUGUAAAAAUGAAAUUGCUGUGUUUAUGGUGUGUUGCUUUUAAGUGUAAAUGCUUAGAUUGAGACUGUCAAAAGGCUGGAGCUUCUCUCCUACGAAGAAAGGCUGAGGGAGCUGAAGACUAGCUGGAUGGAUUAGCUCCAUUAGUGACUGGAGCUAAUUAAAAAACAAACAACAACAACAACAAAAAAGCAAGAAGACAUGUCACUGAAGGUGGAGACACUGAGAAUUAGAAAUUAUGACUCCUAGAGAUACUAGUGGUGGUUGCUUUUCAGCUGGUGAGGAUCCCUGCUGAGAUUUGCUGGAUAGGGAUGGUAUGCUGCUUUGGUGCCUGGAUGUGCACCACCAUACUUUGUAGGGAAAUAACUCACUGCAAUUUUACUGAGACAUACACAGUACUGGUGAAGGUGCCACUGCUGCCAAGGCAUGGUCCUGGGAAUAGUACAUCCAUGGAGGUUACAGCAGAGAACUCAGAAGUCCUGUGGCCCCAUUCCUGAGCAGUGCUGCUGUGAGUCUUGCACUCAUCUCAUUCAGGUUACUCAGCUAAUGUGAAAAUUCACUUUUCUUUCCCCUUGGUUAGCUUGCAGACUUAGCGAGCUGAAAUUACACACGCUGAAGUCAGAUAAGUACUAAGUCAUCAGACAACGUAGGAAAGAAAUGAGAUCACAGAAUCAAUCAGGUGUUUACUCCCUGAAACUCUGCAUUUGAAACUCCAAAGAGAAGCAUGACAGAAAUUUAAAACAGAAGUUAGCUAGAGACUUGUAUAAAGCAUUUAUGUCUUUCAACAGCAAUGAUUAAUUAAAAAUUAUAUUUCCAUUUGCUCAAGGUUAUUCUGUUAAAAAUAUCAACAUAGCCAGCUCAAAUCUCCUUUACUUAUCUAUUAGCAUAAGAAAAAAAUAUCUUUCAAAGCACUUGGAAAGCUGAUUUUUAUAACCUCUGUGUUCAGUUCACCAGCACAAAGUAUGUAGGUUCAGAACUUAAAAAUUCUCCAUGUAAUUACAAGCCAGUCAUAUUUGGCUUCAUGGAAGUAGCUGAGAAAACCUAAUGAGACAGGUGGAAUCAUGUUCCUCUUUAAUGAUUGAGAGGUGACAUAGCAGAGCCAAAACUUCUUAUGAGUUCAACGUGGGGGAAAGUAAUGGUUUGAUAUCAAUCCAGAAAUCACAUUCUUUUAUAUUUAGUUGCCCAGAAGAGACAUCAGUGUCAGCUGAACAGCGUGAUAGCCAUUUUUGCUACUUGGUAAGUAGCCACCCUUGCUGAACACAGCUAAUAUGCAAUAAGGACUAGAACAGCAUCAGAAUGAUGCAUCUUUCCAACCAUUCUGUGUGAACUAUACGUGUGCCAAAGGUGUAGUUGAAGUACUCAGGAGCACAGUGGCCAACAUUGGUGGUAGGUGGACGGUUGGACUAGGUAGUCAAAGAAGUCUUUUCCAACCCUAAUGAUUUUAUGAUUCUGUUCUAUCAUUCUAAGGCAUGUAAUCAGAAAUAUCGCGCAAUCAGUCAUAGAAUGGCUGUGUGAGUAAAAUCCCAAUGGCAACUCUGAAAGCCCAUGCCCAGUUAGCUGUGUUCAGACAUGCAAGAAAAAGGGAGGCUGAACCAGGGCCUGAUCCUGUAAUACUCUGGGUAGGAGCAGGGGUACUCCAGGGGGUAUGGCAGCAACUGGAUGCAGUUGCAGAUCAGAAUCUCAUGAUGUUCUCUGUAAAUGCAAGCAGGCUGCAGGGUCUGAAAAGGGGGAAACAUAAAUGUGCAAACAUGAAGAUUAUCCCUCUGUGCAGAGUGGAAUUUCUGCCUAAGAAUUCAAUUUUGCAUUGUCCUCAUAACUACUAUAGUUUCUCAAAAGCUGCUUUCCCAUAUUGUGCAUAGGUGGUGUUUAUAGCACUAAGUCAUGCUCCUGAUUCAACUUGGCACGUCUAGAAUCUGUCAUAUUUUGUAGGGCAAAGAAAGAGGGACUGCUAUUCAUAUGUAAAGAAUUAAAGACUCAAAAUGGGAGACAUAUCUUCUUAUAAAACAGUAGUUCUUGCUUAAAAAGUUCUCCUUUCCAGAAUGACUUUUUAUUAUAUUUAAAUUCAUUUUGCAGAAAAAUUACAAUUUUUAGGAUUUUUUAUUUUUUUUCUGUGACAAUAGAUACAAAGCUAUUUGGAUGUGGAGUCUCCUUUAUAUACGAAGAUCUGAACAAGAUUUAGAGUACAUAACUGCUCUGGAAUGCCAGUACUUAAGGAGCAUAUUAUGAUAGUGGACACACAUGCUCAACUGCAUCCAUCUAUCUGUGCUGGCAAAGAGGUUACCACCUCCAGUUUUUUAUCACCUCCCAGCAGACAGAGAUUACCACCCUUAAGUUCUGUUGCCAAUGGUUCACUGCCUAUUUGUUGCAGGCAAAGUAAGAGAGACUGCCUCAAAUCACCUGUUUCAACUGUUUAUAAUAACCUAAUUUAUUUUGCUUUAAGCAAACUAGGGGAUGUUUACUUGAACUGAUCAAUUGUAUGUGUUAGAUAAAAUGGUAGCUUUCAGGAAAUGAUGAGUAGCUGGGAGAGUGCUAUAGGCAAUUACCUUUGACUUGAGGAAGGAUGCUUGUUCACAGCAUGAGACACACACAUACAAUGUAUCAAUAACUUCCAGAAGACCACUUUACUGAAUUUCUUAAUUUCUUUGGAUUUUGAAAUGUACAUCAGAUAAAUUGGUUUGUAUGUAACACUCUCUCAAUCCUACUGUGAAUAUUAUAGUCUUUUCACUGUAGUAUAGAGAUGCGGAAAUUGUACAGCUACAAAUAGAGCCUAUGCAUUAUAUUGUCAUAUUCACAGCAAGCAACAUAUAAAUUUCUGUAGCCAGAAAUAAUUUUGAAUUUUCCCCUUUUGUUAAGCUACAGAAAGCUCUGUAAUUAUCCCCAUGUGCUUUCUUGUCUCUGUAAACCUUCAUUUAGUUCAUCCCUAGUAUCCAACUUGGUAGCACAAUCAAAAGGUUACAGGGAUGAACAUAAUCAUUUGCUUCUGUCAUACCUGAAACACCAAGUAGAUUAAUUUACCCACUUUGCUAUUUGUCCUUAUGUCCAAGCUCAGCUUAGAAUCCUCAGAGCUGAAUUUUUAUUAAAAAAAAAAGAAGUAUAAUAAUCUCAUAGUUUAUGUGGACAAGUCACAGAAGGUAAUGUUAUAAUGCACAUAGAACACAACAUCGUGCUUUCUUUAUCC